RNAcentral lists this long non-coding RNA (1428 nucleotides) under Rattus norvegicus (Norway rat). RNAcentral's name for it is "long non-coding RNA NONRATT028326". Lineage: Eukaryota; Metazoa; Chordata; Mammalia; Rodentia; Muridae. The record is from RNAcentral.
UGCUUGGCAAGUGUUCUUUAAUUGUGCCACGCCCCACUGGGGUAUUCUGGGCAGCCGCUCUACCACUGAGGCCCCCCCCCCCCACUCUCACAACACUUCCUACCCUGCACCUCACCUUCACUGGGAAGUCUAGGUAGGAGCUUUACCACUGAACCACAUUCCACCCCCUCCCUAUCCAUCACAAACAGGUGGCUUCUUUUCCCUUCUGGUUUCUGCUGCCUUUUUGUGGGUGCAUAAUGGGUUGAGCCCUCUGAGGGGUGACCAUUUUCUUCACUCUCCCUGCAGGAGGCUACGAUGGCCACACUUUUCUGGACAGUGUGGAAUGCUAUGACCCAGACACUGAUACCUGGAGUGAAGUGACCCGCUUGACAUCUGGCCGCAGUGGGGUGGGUGUUGCUGUCACCAUGGAACCCUGUCGGAAGCAAAUUGAUCAACAAAACUGUACCUGCUGAAGCACUUGGACUACCUGAGCACUGGCCACAGGACAGAAGCUGUGCAUCGCUGCUGUCUCUGUACUAAAGAAAAAGGAAGCAAAACCACAAACAAAACACAGGGCAGAAGAGGCAGCAGAACAAGCCAUGCCUUCUUCCACGAAGGGCGGCUGGGAUGCCUUGUAAAGGACCUUGUGGAAGACCAGAACUGAAAUCCAUGGGCCCUUCUGUCAUAGCCCCUGGAGCAUCCAAGUCUGCAGUCUGGGAUGGGGUAUGGGAGGGCACCCUCGCAGGUGAGAGGCCCCUGAACUCCUACCACCCACACCCAGACCCCCUUUCAGGGGGGACAGGCAAAGCAGGAAGGUCACAUGUGUUUUCUUUGGUUCCUGCAACUUGGUGAUCAAUUCCAGGGGACAAGGGAAAGAAGGAACAGGUGAGGCCAAGGGGCAGAGGCUCCCUCUGGAGAUGGGGCCCAGGGACAAACCUGCAGAGCAGCCUCUGGGCUGUAAGCCCUGGACACUUAUUUUGUUAAAUAGCCCUGUAACUUUCCCAUGAGAAUAAAAAAUGGAGUAGGCAGUGCCUUGCACACCGGUCCUCAGAGGGCAGUGGAAUCCCUCAGGGAGAGACAGCUCUGCUAUUGAAAUACACGCAGAUCCUGAUCGGGGCUGGCAUCUGAAACCUGUCUGUUGUCUCUGCUUACAAUUGUGCAUUCUACUCAUCUAGGGCAUCCUGCUCCCUUGUGGGACACAUAGUUGUCUGUCUGUUUCGGGGUAUUAGAAGCCAAUGACCCAACUUCUGUGACACUUCUCCUGGGGCCUCCUGUCUUUUGCUUUGAGACCAGAGCUCAUGUAGUCCAGGAUGGCCUUCAAUUCAGACCCUGAACUCCUGGCCCUGCUGCCUGCCCCAGCCUCCUGAGUUAUACCUGUAUACCACCAUGCCUGGUUCCUGCUUCUCCUCUUUGUAUCUAAGCAGGAAAAUAAAGAUUUCUGGGACAUUG